UCUUGUGGAGGCAGCUUUCGGCUGCCGAAGCUUGCCCCCGAAAGAGGACUUUCGGAUCUGUCUGGGACUUUCGGCCGCCGAAGGUGCCGCCGAAAGUGCCUGACUUUCGGCUCUGGAGGGACUUUCAGCCGCCGAACCUGCCGCCGAAAGUGCCCUGUUCAGCCAUUUCAUGCAUGUAUUUCUAUGAUUAUUUCAUGAUGUUUUAGGGGGUUUUUGGGGAGUAUAUUAGAGUUAUGUUUAUGUAUGUUUGGUCCCUCAUUGGAGUCCACCUGUGUAGGUUCGGACCCGAGGAACCGAGGACCCCCGCAGUGAGCCAGCUGCUAUAGAGUUUGUCAGAGCUAGCCAGAGGUGAGUGGAAUAAACCUUAAGUUUAAAUCAAUGAAAUAUGAAUUUCGAGCAUGACCCAUGCAUCAUGAAUGCCAUGUGAUAUUUUAGGUUGUUUGCAUUAGAUUCCACGAAUAUGUUGCAUUGCAUACUUGAUGAUGUUGUGGAUGGGCAUUGAAUGACCCUUUAGUCCUUGAUAUGUUAUGAAGAGGCAUGUUAUGGUAUGGUUGCCGGUUGUACCCAUUCUACGUCCCGGCCAGAGUAAGAGAAAGACCAGGUUGUACCCAUUCUACGUCCCUGGCAUAUUGGAAAGGUUAUGUUAUGUUAUAGUAAGAGGAAGUCCGGUUGUACCCAUUUUACGUCCCGGCAUUUUGGAAUGUAGAGGACUAGAGGUGACAAUACCAUCCUUAUGUGAUAUGAUUGUGAUGUGUUGCAUUUCAUGUAAGCAUGAAAUUUUAAAAUAUGUUUUCUCUAUUCUGCUCACUGGGCUUUGUAGCUCACCCCUCUCCCCUAACCCCAGAUGUGCAGGUACAGGGUAGACCAGGAGGUUAGCCAGAGUCUUGAAGGAUGUUUAUGUAAUAGUUAGGUUGUGGACAUGACAAUUGUACUAUGAUGUAAUGUAAAAGAUUAUAGCAUGUUAUGUAAUGAGAUAUAUUGAGGUUAUAGUUGUGCUUGACCCUAUGGGUAUUGUUGUCCCUUUUGAUACAUGAUCUAUAGAUAUGUUUAUGAUGUUCAUGACAGUCCAAACUCAAUGUAUGAUGAGAUACCCCAUUGGAGCAUUGAUGAGGACUCCAGUGGUGGUUUAUGUGUAUGAUUAUGUAAUGUACAGGUUGAGCUUGGUAGAUAUAUGAGAAAGUUUACAGAUUCUUUUGAGUUGUUUGAUCAUGUAUGGGAUUUACAGGUUUAC
Molecule: long non-coding RNA, 1231 nt
Filed under: Manihot esculenta (cassava)
Lineage: Eukaryota; Viridiplantae; Streptophyta; Magnoliopsida; Malpighiales; Euphorbiaceae
Description: long non-coding RNA (MESC_LNC003416)
Source: RNAcentral